GUCGGCCCGCGGAAUUCAGCUCGGAAGGCCGGCGCGAGCGGCGGGCAAGAGAUCUGAUGGGACUCUCCCGUCGUUCGACCGCUGGUCGGCCGUGUGCACUUUCCGCGGGCAGAGCGCCACGACCGGUUCCCGGGCGGUCAGAAGGCGGCGAGGAAGGUAGGUGGUUGCUUCGGCGGCCACUGUUACAGCCUCGCCUGUCCCGAUCCGCCGGGGGACCGAGGAGCCGCCGUCGGUCGCGGCCACUCCGCUCUCUCGGGGAGUUCGACUGGCAGAGACUGGGCAACCGUGUCUGCCGACCGCUCUCUGGGAUGGUCGGAGCGGGCCUGGCCGGCACAGGGUCGGUGGCGAAUCGGUCGGCCCUCCACCCGACCCGUCUUGAAACACGGACCAAGGAGUCUAACAUGCGCGCGAGUCGUUGGGUAGUACRAAACCCGAAGGCGAAGUGAAAGCGAGGGCGCGCCUCUGGUGCGCUCAGGUGGGAUCCCGCUCCUCACGGGGAGUGGGCGCACCGCCGGCCCGUCUCGUCCGCGCUGUCGGUGAGGCGGAGCAAGAGCGUGCAC
Molecule: ribosomal RNA, 560 nt
Filed under: Semisulcospira niponica
Lineage: Eukaryota; Metazoa; Mollusca; Gastropoda; Semisulcospiridae
Description: eukaryotic LSU rRNA
Rfam family: Eukaryotic large subunit ribosomal RNA (bases 387-560)
Source: RNAcentral